CCUACGGGGGUGCAGCAGUGGGGAAUAUUGGACAAUGGGCGAAAGCCUGAUCCAGCCAUGCCGCGUGUGUGAAGAAGGCCUUCGGGUUGUAAAGCACUUUCAGUGGGGAAGAAAGCCUUGGGGCUAAUACCCUCGAGGAAGGACAUCACCCACAGAAGAAGCACCGGCUAACUCCGUGCCAGCAGCCGCGGUAAUACGGAGGGUGCGAGCGUUAAUCGGAAUUACUGGGCGUAAAGCGCGCGUAGGCGGUCUGAUAAGCCGGUUGUGAAAGCCCCGGGCUCAACCUGGGAACGGCAUCCGGAACUGUCAGGCUAGAGUGCAGGGGAGGAAGGUAGAAUUCCCGGUGUAGCGGUGAAAUGCGUAGAGAUCGGGAGGAAUACCAGUGGCGAAGGCGGUCUUCUGGACUGACACUGACGCUGAGGUGCGAAAGCGUGGGUAGCAAACAGGAUUAGAUACCCUAGUAGUC
This 466-nucleotide ribosomal RNA is filed under the name Vreelandella stevensii. RNAcentral's name for it is "partial 16S ribosomal RNA". It matches the Rfam family "Bacterial small subunit ribosomal RNA", at positions 338 to 795 of the family's 1533-position model. The record is from RNAcentral. Lineage: Bacteria; Pseudomonadati; Pseudomonadota; Gammaproteobacteria; Oceanospirillales; Halomonadaceae.